GAGAGUUUGAUCCUGGCUCAGAACGAACGCUGGCGGCGUGGAUAAGACAUGCAAGUCGAACGGAUUCAUAUGAGAUUAUAUCAAGUGUGGGUCAGUGGCGGACGGGUGCGUAACACGUGAGUAAUCUGCCGGAAGGAGGGGGAUAGCCCAUGGAAACGUGGAUUAAUACCCUGUGUGGCCUCAACAGGCAUCUGUUGACGGCCAAAGGUGGCGCAAGCUGCCGCCUUCCGAUGAGCUCGCGGCCUAUCAGCUUGUUGGCGGGGUAACGGCCCACCAAGGCGAUGACGGGUAGCUGGUCUGAGAGGAUGACCAGCCACACUGGAACUGAGACACGGUCCAGACACCUACGGGUGGCAGCAGUCGAGAAUCAUUCACAAUGGGCGAAAGCCUGAUGGUGUGACGCCGCGUGGAGGAUGACGGUCUUCGGAUUGUAAACUCCUGUCAUUUGGUUAACAAACCUACGUGGUUAAUACCCACGUAGCUGAUAGUAGCAAAAGAGGAAGGGACGGCUAACUCUGUGCCAGCAGCCGCGGUAAUACAGAGGUCCCAAGCGUUGUUCGGAUUCACUGGGCGUAAAGGGUGCGUAGGCGGCAUGGCAAGUUUGGUGUGAAAGCUCCGAGCUCAACUCGGAAAUUGCACUGAAAACUGCCAAGCUCGAGGAUCGGAGGGGACAUCGGAAUUCACGGUGGAGCAGUGAAAUGCGUGGGAUAUCGUGAGGAACACUUAGUGGCGAAGGCGGAUGUCUGGACUUUCCUGACGCUGAGACACGAAGGCUAGGGUAGCGAACGGGAUUAGAUACCCCGGUAGUCCUAGCAGUAAACGGUGCACGCUUGGUGUGGGAGGAUUCGACCCCUUCCGUGCCGGAGCUAACGCGUUAAGCGUGCCGCCUGGGGAGUACGGCCGCAAGGCUAAAACUCAAAGAAAUUGACGGGGACCCGCACAAGCGGUGGAGUAUGUGGCUUAAUUCGAUGCAACGCGAAGAACCUUACCUGGGCUUGACAUGCAUCCCUAAACCGGUGAGAGAGCCGGGGAGCUCUUUUGAGCAGUUUGCACAGGUGCUGCAUGGCUGUCGUCAGCUCGUGUCGUGAGAUGUUGGGUUAAGUCCCGCAACGAGCGCAACCCCUGUGUCCUGUUGCCAGCACGUAAUGGUGGGGACUCUAUUCAGACUGCCCAGGUCAACUGGGAGGAAGGUGGGGAUGACGUCAGGUCAGUAUGGCCCUUACGCCUUGGGCUGCACACGUACUACAAUGCCCAGUACAAUGAGAACCGAUACCGCGAGGUGGAGGAAAUCUAUAAAACUGGGCCCAGUUCGGAUUGGAGGCUGCAACUCGCCUCCAUGAAGUUGGAAUCGCUAGUAAUGGCACAUCAGCUACGGUGCCGUGAAUACGUUCCCGGGUCUUGUACACACCGCCCGUCACAUCAUGGAAGCCGAUCGCACCCGAAGUAUCUGCGCUAACUAUUUAUAGAAGCAAGGUCCUAAGGUGUAGUUGGUAACUGGGAUGAAGUCGUAACAAGGUAGCCGUAG
RNAcentral lists this ribosomal RNA (1525 nucleotides) under uncultured prokaryote. RNAcentral describes it as "partial 16S ribosomal RNA". It matches the Rfam family "Bacterial small subunit ribosomal RNA". The record is from RNAcentral.